RNAcentral lists this non-coding RNA (208 nucleotides) under Fervidicella metallireducens. RNAcentral's name for it is "T-box sequence". It matches the Rfam family "T-box leader". Rfam says of the family: Uncharged tRNA acts as the effector for transcription antitermination of genes in the T-box leader family. T-boxes are found upstream of many aminoacyl-tRNA synthetase genes and some amino acid biosynthetic genes usually in Gram-positive bacteria. The anticodon of a specific tRNA base pairs to a specifier sequence within the T-box motif, and the NCCA acceptor tail of the tRNA base pairs to a conserved bulge in the T-box antiterminator hairpin. The record is from RNAcentral. Lineage: Bacteria; Bacillati; Bacillota; Clostridia; Eubacteriales; Clostridiaceae.
UUAAAAGCCAUGACGAAGAGGAGUAAAUAACUAAGUCUUUAAGAGAGGAAAGUUCACCGGCUGAAAGACUUUCUAAGAAACUGGUUGUUGAAGGUAGCUUCCGAGCUUUUCACUUGAAAUUAAGUAGAGUGAAACGGUUUUCCGUUAAAAAAUUAAGUGCCGAUAACAUGUCGGAAUAAAGGUGGUACCGCGGUCCUUCGCCCUUUGC